This 497-nucleotide ribosomal RNA is filed under the name uncultured bacterium. RNAcentral describes it as "partial 16S ribosomal RNA". It matches the Rfam family "Bacterial small subunit ribosomal RNA", at positions 28 to 507 of the family's 1533-position model. The record is from RNAcentral.
GAUGAACGCUGGCGGCGUGCCUAAUACAUGCAAGUCGAGCGAACAGACGAGGAGCUUGCUCCUCUAACGUUAGCGGCGGACGGGUGAGUAACACGUGGAUAACCUACCUAUAAGACUGGGAUAACUUCGGGAAACCGGAGCUAAUACCGGAUAAUAUAUUGAACCGCAUGGUUCAAUAGUGAAAGACGGUUUUGCUGUCACUUAUAGAUGGAUCCGCGCCGCAUUAGCUAGUUGGAAAGGUAACAGCUUACCAAGGCAACGAUGCGUAGCCGACCUGAGAGGGUGAUCGGCCACACUGGAACUGAGACACGGUCCAGACUCCUACGGGAGGCAGCAGUAGGGAAUCUUCCGCAAUGGGCGAAAGCCUGACGGAGCAACGCCGCGUGAGUGAUGAAGGUCUUCGGAUCGUAAAACUCUGUUAUUAGGGAAGAACAAAUGUGUAAGUAACUAUGCACGUCUUGACGGUACCUAAUCAGAAAGCCACGGCUAACUACGUG